Molecule: ribosomal RNA, 301 nt
Filed under: uncultured bacterium
Lineage: Bacteria
Description: partial 16S ribosomal RNA
Rfam family: Bacterial small subunit ribosomal RNA
Source: RNAcentral
CAGCCGCCGCGGUAAUACGGAGGGGGCUAGCGUUGUUCGGAAUUACUGGGCGUAAAGCGCACGUAGGCGGCUUGGUAAGUUAGAGGUGAAAGCCUGGAGCUCAACUCCAGAAUUGCCUUUAAGACUGCCGAGCUAGCAGGUGAGAGAGGUAAGUGGAAUUCCGAGUGUAGAGGUGAAAUUCGUAGAUAUUCGGAAGAACACCAGUGGCGAAGGCGGCUUACUGGCUCAUACUGGACGCUGAGGUGCGAAAGCGUGGGGAGCAAACAGGAUUAGAUACCCCCGUAGUCCCUGUCUCUUAUAC